GUUGGUCUCGUCUUUAUUUAAUAACAGAACAAUCGAAAUUGCCCUAAAAAAAUUUGUUUUCUCCAUUCGUCCAAAUCUCGGCGGCAGAAACAGAGAGGAAACUUAUCUUAAACCCCCUAUCUCCGGUGAAAGCGUGCGUUACUAUGUCUGACUUCGAAGAUCACGAGGGAAACGGGACAGCUGUUGACGGCUUCGAGGCCGAUGAUAACGGCGGCCGCGGCGGAGAAAUCGAGGAUCAAACAGACUCGAAAUCUCAGGGAGAAACACGUGACAAUGAAAGAGAGUCUUCAAGAAGUAAAGACAGAGAAAGAGAGAAGGGAUCUGUAGAUCGAAGCAGAGACAGAAGCAAGGAGAGAAGUAGAGACAGGGAUCGUGAGCGUCGUAGCCGCCACAGGGAUCGUAGUAGAGACCGUGGUGAUAGAAGAGACCGUGGUAGUAGAGACCGCGAUGAUGACUACCGCAGAGGCAGCCGUGACCGUGACUAUGAUAGGCGUAGAGAUGACAGAGGAGAUAGACGCCGUCAUAGGUCUCGUUCGCGUUCCAAGGAUAGAUCUAGGCGCAGAUCAAGGUCUCGCUCUCCAUCAAAAACCAAACGGGUCAGUGGAUUCGAUAUGGCACCUCCAGCCUCUGCAAUGUUAGCUGCUGGUGCUGCUGUUACAGGCCAAGUUCCUCCACCACCACCAACUCUUCCUCCGGCUGGAAUGUUUCCCAACAUAUUCCCUUUACAGACUGGACAGGCAUUCGGUGGACUCCCUAUGAUGCCAAUUCAGGCUAUGACACAGCAGGCGACUAGGCAUGCUCGCAGAGUCUACGUUGGUGGGCUUUCCCCUGUGGCUAAUGAACAGUCUGUGGCUACAUUCUUUAGUCAAGUUAUGGCUGCGGUUGGUGGAAACACCGCUGGUCCAGGUGAUGCCGUCGUCAAUGUUUACAUAAACCACGAGAAGAAGUUUGCUUUUGUGGAGAUGAGAUCCGUUGAAGAGGCUAGUAACGCAAUGUCCUUGGAUGGCAUUAUAUUUGAGGGAGCUCCAGUGAAGGUGAGGAGACCUAGUGACUAUAACCCAUCUCUAGCUGCAUCUCUUGGCCCAAGCCAGCCCAGUCCCCAUCUAAACUUAGCUGCUGUUGGUCUGACUCCAGGUGCUUCCGGCGGUCUCGAAGGCCCAGACCGUAUCUUCGUCGGUGGACUUCCAUAUUACUUCACCGAGGCACAAGUCAGGGAGCUGCUGGAAAGCUUUGGAGCCCUAAAGGGGUUUGACCUCGUCAAAGAUCGAGAAACUGGGAACUCCAAAGGAUACGCCUUCUGUGUGUACCAAGAUGUCGCCGUUACAGAUAUUGCCUGCGUUGCUCUGAACGGUAUUAAAAUGGGAGACAAGACUCUCACUGUGAGACGCGCUAACCAGGGAUCAAUGCAGCCAAAACCUGAACAGGAGAGUGUGUUGUUGCAUGCACAGCAGCAGAUUGCUUUUCAGAUGAAUAUGUUCCAGCCGGGUCCAGUGGCAACUACAGUUGUAUGUUUGACUCAAGUUGUUACUGAGGAUGAGCUUAAAGACGAUGAGGAGUUUGAAGAUAUAAUGGAAGACAUGAGACAAGAAGGCGGAAAGUUUGCCUUUUGCUAUAAAGAAUCAGCACCUAACAUACUCAGACUGGAGACUGCAUAUCUUAUUUUUUUCACAAAUGGCUACUCUUUAAAAACUAACGUUUUUGUCUCUGUAUGUCUCUUGUAUUUGGAAUGUUUGUUGUUUAACUCUUAAAAUGCAGGUAUGUUGACCAGCGUUGUGAUUCCGCGUCCUAGCCCCAGCGGUGAGCCAGUGCCAGGCCUUGGCAAGGUGUUCUUGAAGUAUGUUGAUACUGAAGGUUCGUCGAGGGCAAGAAGCGGGAUGAAUGGUAGGAAGUUUGGAGGGAAUGAAGUGGUUGCUGUAUUUUAUCCAGAAGACAAGUUUGAUCAGGGAGAGUAUGGAGCCUGAAGCUCAUCCUUUGUUUGUUUGCUUGCUGUCUAGUACCUUUAAGUUCUCUUCAGUUUUUUGCUUCAGUUAAAAGACGCUUUGUGUUAUUUUAAGACCAAUAUAUGAUUUUGAUACU
RNA transcript from Brassica napus (rape), 2076 nucleotides. It is a transcript of the gene named splicing factor U2af large subunit A-like, with no coding region annotated. NCBI's taxonomy places the organism in Eukaryota, Viridiplantae, Streptophyta, Magnoliopsida, Brassicales, Brassicaceae. The record is from RefSeq and is a predicted model, not a curated record. The transcript is spliced from 12 exons.